AUUGAACGCUGGCGGCAGGCCUAACACAUGCAAGUCGAGCGGAUGAAGGGAGCUUGCUCCUGGAUUCAGCGGCGGACGGGUGAGUAAUGCCUAGGAAUAUGCCUGGUAGUGGGGGAUAACGUCCGGAAACGGGCGCUAAUACCGCAUACGUCCUGAGGGAGAAAGUGGGGGAUCUUCGGACCACACGCUAUCAGAUGAGCCUAGGUCGGAUUAGCUAGUUGGUGGGGUAAAGGCCUACCAAGGCGACGAUCCGUAACUGGUCUGAGAGGAUGAUCAGUCACACUGGAACUGAGACACGGUCCAGACUCCUACGGGAGGCAGCAGUGGGGAAUAUUGGACAAUGGGCGAAAGCCUGAUCCAGCCAUGCCGCGUGUGUGAAGAAGGUCUUCGGAUUGUAAAGCACUUUAAGUUGGGAGGAAGGGCAGUAAGUUAAUCCCUUGCUGUUUUGACGUUACCAACAGAAUAAGCACCGGCUAACUUCGUG
RNAcentral lists this ribosomal RNA (484 nucleotides) under uncultured bacterium. Its description in RNAcentral is "partial 16S ribosomal RNA". It matches the Rfam family "Bacterial small subunit ribosomal RNA", at positions 30 to 507 of the family's 1533-position model. The record is from RNAcentral.